GACGAACGCUGGCGGCGUGCUUAACACAUGCAAGUCGAACGGAAAAGGCCGGCUUUUGUCGGGUGCACGAGUGGCGAACGGGUGAGUAGCGCGUGAGUAACCUGCCUGUGACUGGGGGAUAACUUCUGGAAACUGUGGCUAAUACCGGAUAAGAGUUCCUGCUGCAUGGUGGGGGUUGGAAAGGUUCGGCGGCUUGGGAUGGAGUCGCGGCUUAUUAGCAUGAGGGUGUCGUAGUGGUUUACCAUGGCUUUGACGGUGAGCCGGCCUGGGAGGGUGACAGGGCACAUUGGGCCUGGGGUGCGGCCCAGACUCCUACGGCGGGAAGCAGCGGGAAAUAUAGCACAAUGGGCGGAAGCCUGAUGGAGGAAUGCCGCGUGCGGGAUGACGGCCUUCGGGUUAUAAACAGCUUUAGCCUGUAACGUAGCGUGAGUGACGGUAAUGGGUAAAGAAGCAACGGCUAACUACGUG
This 468-nucleotide ribosomal RNA is filed under the name uncultured bacterium. Its description in RNAcentral is "partial 16S ribosomal RNA". It matches the Rfam family "Bacterial small subunit ribosomal RNA", at positions 28 to 507 of the family's 1533-position model. The record is from RNAcentral.